AUGAAAUUGUAAUGGGAGUUGAUGCUGGCAGCCUGGCUGUAUGUGCUCGCUCCUUCAUCCCAAACACCUGUGCACAUUUAGGAGAGGGUCUCUGAGUUCUGCUUGGGGUGCCUUGCUCUGAUAGACACAUUAGUUAAAUAUUGAACGUGAUUGUGCCGUGAGGCCUCUUAAUAUUAAUA
RNAcentral lists this unclassified non-coding RNA (179 nucleotides) under uncultured Clavulinaceae. Its description in RNAcentral is "sequence contains ITS1". The record is from RNAcentral. Lineage: Eukaryota; Fungi; Basidiomycota; Agaricomycetes; Cantharellales; Hydnaceae.